UACGGGGGGGGUAAGCGUUGUUCGGAAUUAUUGGGCGUAAAGGGCUUGUAGGCGGUUUGUCGCGUCGGGAGUGAAAACUCAGGGCUUAACCCUGAGCCUGCUUCCGAUACGGGCAGACUAGAGGUAUGCAGGGGAGAAUGGAAUUCCUGGUGUAGCGGUGAAAUGCGCAGAUAUCAGGAGGAACACCGGUGGCGAAGGCGGUUCUCUGGGCAUUACCUGACGCUGAGGAGCGAAAGUGUGGGGAGCAAACAGG
This 253-nucleotide ribosomal RNA is filed under the name uncultured bacterium. Its description in RNAcentral is "partial 16S ribosomal RNA". It matches the Rfam family "Bacterial small subunit ribosomal RNA", at positions 524 to 776 of the family's 1533-position model. The record is from RNAcentral.